This 2025-nucleotide long non-coding RNA is filed under the name Homo sapiens (human). Its description in RNAcentral is "non-protein coding lnc-PZP-7:1". Lineage: Eukaryota; Metazoa; Chordata; Mammalia; Primates; Hominidae. The record is from RNAcentral.
CUAUUAAGUGGAGUGUUCUCUGAACGUCAUUGAGGUCAACUGGGUUAAUAGAGUUUCUCUAUCUUAGAUCACACUUUUCUUCUUUAUUUCUUUGAAUCAUAAAUAUCUUUAUUUAUUUAUUUAUUUAUUUAUUUAUUUAUUUAUUUAUGUCCUUACUAAAGAGUGCUAUUAAACCUGGAUGGUGUGUCCAAGAAGCUUAGUGUCUGUUCUGUUUGGACUUCUGUGUGUUUCAUACCCACUGAGAAGAGACUCCUUCAUGCUUCAAUACCUUUACUGUUAAUGAUGGGUAGUUAGUUUGUUGUUAAAUCUUGGGAAUGGCCAAGUUAUGCUCCGGCUUUCAGCACAUCUUAUUCGUUCUAGCAGUGGGGUCUCUUUCUGGUGGGUCAGUAUCCUCUUCACACCCUAGAAAUGAGAGAAGCAUUAUAAAACAGAAUUGGCAGAAAAGUAAUUUUCUCCCUGGAAUCCAGUCUGAAAAACAAUUCUGAUUUUGCAAAACAUAUGACAGUCCCUGUGCAACAGUAUAAAACUUCACCAUAGAAGUAAAAGCCCACGGACAUUAUAUUCAAUCACUUCACGUUAAAUACCUUUAAAAUCAUCAUUGAUCAGAAUUGAAGAUCAGCUGUAAAAAAUAAUAUGAACAAAGAUUCAUAAGAAGAUUCAGAAGAAAGUUGACUACCACAAAAAUUAGAAAAACAGUAGAUCUAUUAAAAUUACAAAUUAAGCACCCUAAAAGUUAGACAUCUUGGUGGGAUGAUGAGCAAAUAAAUAGUGCACUGAGGAUGUGAGGAAAGACCCCAAGUCAGACAUGCAUCCCUGCAAAACGAUACAUUUAAAUUUUUUUCAAUCUUUGCUGAGACAGAGAAAAAUAGUUUUCUAUUCAAACUUCAUAUACUUAUUUCUUCACUUACAACAGAUUUGGCAUACACAUUAAAAAUUAUGUAAUAGUUGGAAUCAUUUGUUAUACUCAACCAGAUAUAAUUAUUCAUUAAGAAUAACAUUGGUAGUAAUUAAUAUAAUAUAUGAGGUACAGACUCCUUUGAAAUAUGCCUUAAAGUUAUGUUUUGGUUUUCAUAUCAGUAAAACAUUUUCUAUUUUCUAACAUGUCCACUUCUUGCUAAUAGUGUUUUUAGUUUAUUAUAAUCCCAAAUUACCUGUUCUUUUGACAUGGACAGUAACUAACAUAUUUUAAUGAACUUAAAUUUUCUAAAAAUAAAAGCAAAUAUAUUUUAAAGAGAUUCUCCAUAAGCAAUGUUUUCAUAGUAUAUUGAGUUAGAAAGAUGAAUACUAUUGCAUCUUGAAGAUAAAUAAUUAUUGAUUUUUUUCAUAUAUGUCUUAUGAUAAGUGAUUCCAAACUGCUAUAUUAAAUUCAGUAGACCAUAAAGCUGGAUUGUCAUAGUGAAAUUUAGCAACCUAAGUCAGAUGUUAUUUAGCUAAACAUACUGAUAUUUCAUUCCAAUAAAAAUCAGUUUUCAGUCCAAGAAUCAAGGAAGUUACCUGAUGCUACUACUAUAUAACUCAGAUACUACUCAAGAAAUGUCGGUAUCAACAGAAGGAACUAAUAGAUUAUCUUGCCAAUUAAUUUUUUUGGCCAAAGUAGAAGCAAAUCUUUGGGAAGAUUCUGCACAAUUUCCUGUUGUUCUUUAUUCACCAUUUUUUAAAUUGUCUGAACCAAUGAACUCUUAGGCUGUAUAUUAGAUAUUUAUUUUUUUUAAAUGGACCAGUAAAUCUCCAAUCAUGAUGAACAGUUCCACACUGCUUUAGAAUUUCAGGUGACUGAGACUGCCAACUGGAGGAGACUUCUGUUGGCUGGUCUCAGGGGUGGAAUGUGAUUUUCACAUCACCGUGCAAACUGCACACAGUCUUCACAUAAACACUGCACAGAGAUAGGUCAGUGAUAGCAAGGUAUGCAUCUUUCUUGUACGUGUGUUUUCAAUUCUAUGCAGCAUUUUAUUUCUAUAUGAUUAAGUCAAUUUAUAUUUCAUCAUUUAUAUAAGGAAUGGAAAACCUGAGUUAACUGGAAUCAAA